RNAcentral lists this ribosomal RNA (535 nucleotides) under uncultured Acidobacteriota bacterium. Its description in RNAcentral is "bacterial SSU rRNA". It matches the Rfam family "Bacterial small subunit ribosomal RNA", at positions 8 to 522 of the family's 1533-position model. The record is from RNAcentral. Lineage: Bacteria; Pseudomonadati; Acidobacteriota.
AGAGUUUGAUCAUGGCUCAGAAUCAACGCUGGCGGCGUGCCUAACACAUGCAAGUCGAACGCGAAAACCCCGCAAGGGGUUAGUAGAGUGGCAAACGGGUGAGUAACGCGUGGGUGACCUGCCUUCGAGUGGGGGAUAACCUUCCGAAAGGAGGGCUAAUACCGCAUCACAUCCCGUGUUUGGAUACACGGUGAUCAAAGCCGGGGAUCGCAAGACCUGGCGCUUGAAGAGGGACCUGCGUCCGAUUAGCUAGUUGGUGGGGUAACGGCUCACCAAGGCUCCGAUCGGUAUCCGGCCUGAGAGGGCGGACGGACACACUGGAACUGAGACACGGUCCAGACUCCUACGGGAGGCAGCAGUGGGGAAUUGUUCGCAAUGGGCGCAAGCCUGACGACGCAACGCCGCGUGGAGGAUGAAGACCUUCGGGUCGUAAACUCCUUUCGACCGAGAUGAAUUCUCGCCGACCUAACACGUCGGCGGGGUGACAGUAUCGAGGGAAGCAGCCCCGGCUAACUCCGUGCCAGCAGCCGCGGUA